RNAcentral lists this ribosomal RNA (450 nucleotides) under Streptococcus mitis. RNAcentral's name for it is "bacterial SSU rRNA". It matches the Rfam family "Bacterial small subunit ribosomal RNA", at positions 39 to 473 of the family's 1533-position model. The record is from RNAcentral. Lineage: Bacteria; Bacillati; Bacillota; Bacilli; Lactobacillales; Streptococcaceae.
GCGGCGUGCCUAAUACAUGCAAGUAGAACGCUGAAGGAGGAGCUUGCUUCUCUGGAUGAGUUGCGAACGGGUGAGUAACGCGUAGGUAACCUGCCUGGUAGCGGGGGAUAACUAUUGGAAACGAUAGCUAAUACCGCAUAAGAGUAGAUGUUGCAUGACAUUUGCUUAAAAGGUGCAAUUGCAUCACUACCAGAUGGACCUGCGUUGUAUUAGCUAGUUGGUGGGGUAACGGCUCACCAAGGCGACGAUACAUAGCCGACCUGAGAGGGUGAUCGGCCACACUGGGACUGAGACACGGCCCAGACUCCUACGGGAGGCAGCAGUAGGGAAUCUUCGGCAAUGGACGGAAGUCUGACCGAGCAACGCCGCGUGAGUGAAGAAGGUUUUCGGAUCGUAAAGCUCUGUUGUAAGAGAAGAACGAGUGUGAGAGUGGAAAGUUCACGCUGUGAC